GAGUUGUAAUUUGUAGAGAGUGCUUCGGGUGAGGCCCCGGUCUAAGUCCAUUGGAACAUGGUGUCAUAGAGGGUGAGAAUCCCGUAUGCGACCGUGGCUCGAGCCCAUGUGAAGCCUCUUCGACGAGUCGAGUUGUUUGGGAAUGCAGCUCAAAAUGGGUGGUAAAUUUCAUCUAAAGCUAAAUACUGGCUGGAGACCGAUAGCGCACAAGUAGAGUGAUCGAAAGAUGAAAAGCACUUUGGAAAGAGAGUCAAAAAGUACGUGAAAUUGUUGAAAGGGAAGCGCUUGCAACCAGACCUGCCCGUAGGCGAUCAACCGCUGUUCUCAGCGGUGCACUCGCUCUGCGAUCAGGCCAGCAUCGGUCUCGGCGGUCGGAUAAAGGCCUUGGGAAUGUAGCUUCCCCUCGGGGGAGUCUUAUAGCCCUCGGUGCAAUGCGGCCAGCCGGGACCGAGGACCGCGCUUCGGCUAGGAUGCUGGCGUAAUGGUUGUAAGCGACCCGUCUUGAAACACG
RNAcentral lists this ribosomal RNA (511 nucleotides) under Xanthoparmelia saxeti. RNAcentral's name for it is "eukaryotic LSU rRNA". It matches the Rfam family "Eukaryotic large subunit ribosomal RNA", at positions 140 to 663 of the family's 3401-position model. The record is from RNAcentral. Lineage: Eukaryota; Fungi; Ascomycota; Lecanoromycetes; Lecanorales; Parmeliaceae.